RNAcentral lists this long non-coding RNA (429 nucleotides) under Pan troglodytes (chimpanzee). RNAcentral describes it as "lincRNA". The record is from RNAcentral. Lineage: Eukaryota; Metazoa; Chordata; Mammalia; Primates; Hominidae.
UUUUCCCAGCUACAUAUAAGGAAUUUGAAAGUCGCAUAAAAUGGUUAAGAAAAUGUGCCAAGAUUACCUCAGUAAUUCUGGUCUGUGUUCUCAGGAGACCCUGGAAAUAAACAAUGAAAAACGUUGACCUCUUGGUGAGAAUGUAAAGAAGGGAACGCUUGCUUAUACACUGUUGGUGAACUGUCACCCCUACAACUCAGCUUGCAACCAGCCCUGGCCACCACCAGUUUCCCCACACUGAGCUGAAUAUUGGACAUGCCCAUCUUAGGCAUUCCAGCCCAUUCUGAAAUUCCACAUCGAUUCACCCGACAAAGUCUGAAGUUCCAGGGCAAUUUAUCUGGAAAAGCUCACCUGGAAUCACGUGUCAUUUCAACCAACAACUGUUGAAGAGGACGUGGCAUUAAAACCAAGGGUAUCAAUUAUUUAUAA